UAAGUAGAAAAUGCGGCGCCGCA
Molecule: non-coding RNA, 23 nt
Filed under: Arabidopsis thaliana (thale cress)
Lineage: Eukaryota; Viridiplantae; Streptophyta; Magnoliopsida; Brassicales; Brassicaceae
Source: RNAcentral